UGGGGAAUUUUGGACAAUGGGCGAAAGCCUGAUCCAGCAAUGCCGCGUGUGUGAAGAAGGCCUUCGGGUUGUAAAGCACUUUUGUCCGGAAAGAAAUCCUUGGCUCUAAUACAGUCGGGGGAUGACGGUACCGGAAGAAUAAGCACCGGCUAACUACGUGCCAGCAGCCGCGGUAAUACGUAGGGUGCAAGCGUUAAUCGGAAUUACUGGGCGUAAAGCGUGCGCAGGCGGUUUGCUAAGACCGAUGUGAAAUCCCCGGGCUCAACCUGGGAACUGCAUUGGUGACUGGCAGGCUAGAGUAUGGCAGAGGGGGGUAGAAUUCCACGUGUAGCAGUGAAAUGCGUAGAGAUGUGGAGGAAUACCGAUGGCGAAGGCAGCCCCCUGGGCCAAUACUGACGCUCAUGCACGAAAAGGCGUGGGGAGCAAAACAGGAUUAGAUACCCCUGGUAGUCCACGCCCCUAAAACGAUGUCAACUAGUUGUUGGGGAUUUCAUUUUCCUUAGUAACGUAGCUAACGCGUGAAGUUGACCGCCUGGGGAGUACGGUCGCAAGAUUAAAACUUAAAUGAAUUGACGGGGUCAUAGCUGUUU
RNAcentral lists this ribosomal RNA (590 nucleotides) under uncultured bacterium. RNAcentral's name for it is "partial 16S ribosomal RNA". It matches the Rfam family "Bacterial small subunit ribosomal RNA", at positions 355 to 935 of the family's 1533-position model. The record is from RNAcentral.